GCUUGGUGUGAUGGUAUUCGCUUGUAGUCUCCAGCUCCUGAGAGGAGGCUGAGGUGGGAAGAUCGCUUGAGCUUGGGAGAUCGAGGUUGGCAGUGAGCCAUGAUCAUGCCACUGCAACUUCAGCGGGUGCGACAGAGCGAGACCCUGUCUCAAAAGUGAAAGCACCUGGGAGUGGGGGACCACCAGGUUGUCUAAGGAGGGGGGAAUCGGCCCAGGCUGGAAACCGAACAGAUGAAAACUCGCAUGUUGAGGAGUAGUGGGAUUGUCCCUUUGAAUAGCCAUUGUACUCCAGCCUGAGCAACAUAGCGAGACUCCAUUUCU
RNAcentral lists this signal recognition particle RNA (321 nucleotides) under Cercocebus atys (sooty mangabey). Its description in RNAcentral is "Metazoan signal recognition particle RNA (ENSCATG00000005548.1)". It matches the Rfam family "Metazoan signal recognition particle RNA". Rfam says of the family: The signal recognition particle (SRP) is a universally conserved ribonucleoprotein. It is involved in the co-translational targeting of proteins to membranes. The eukaryotic SRP consists of a 300-nucleotide 7S RNA and six proteins: SRPs 72, 68, 54, 19, 14, and 9. Lineage: Eukaryota; Metazoa; Chordata; Mammalia; Primates; Cercopithecidae. The record is from RNAcentral.